AAAUUGAAGAGUUUGAUCAUGGCUCAGAUUGAACGCUGGCGGCAGGCCUAACACAUGCAAGUCGAACGGUAACAGGAAGCAGCUUGCUGCUUUGCUGACGAGUGGCGGACGGGUGAGUAAUGUCUGGGAAACUGCCUGAUGGAGGGGGAUAACUACUGGAAACGGUGGCUAAUACCGCAUAACGUCGCAAGACCAAAGAGGGGGACCUUCGGGCCUCUUGCCAUCAGAUGUGCCCAGAUGGGAUUAGCUAGUUGGUGAGGUAACGGCUCACCAAGGCGACGAUCCCUAGCUGGUCUGAGAGGAUGACCAGCCACACUGGAACUGAGACACGGUCCAGACUCCUACGGGAGGCAGCAGUGGGGAAUAUUGCACAAUGGGCGCAAGCCUGAUGCAGCCAUGCCGCGUGUAUGAAGAAGGCCUUAGGGUUGUAAAGUACUUUCAGCGGGGAGGAAGGUGUUGUGGUUAAUAACCGCAGCAAUUGACGUUACCCGCAGAAGAAGCACCGGCUAACUCCGUGCCAGCAGCCGCGGUAAUACGGAGGGUGCAAGCGUUAAUCGGAAUUACUGGGCGUAAAGCGCACGCAGGCGGUCUGUCAAGUCGGAUGUGAAAUCCCCGGGCUCAACCUGGGAACUGCAUUCGAAACUGGCAGGCUUGAGUCUUGUAGAGGGGGGUAGAAUUCCAGGUGUAGCGGUGAAAUGCGUAGAGAUCUGGAGGAAUACCGGUGGCGAAGGCGGCCCCCUGGACAAAGACUGACGCUCAGGUGCGAAAGCGUGGGGAGCAAACAGGAUUAGAUACCCUGGUAGUCCACGCCGUAAACGAUGUCUACUUGGAGGUUGUGCCCUUGAGGCGUGGCUUCCGGAGCUAACGCGUUAAGUAGACCGCCUGGGGAGUACGGCCGCAAGGUUAAAACUCAAAUGAAUUGACGGGGGCCCGCACAAGCGGUGGAGCAUGUGGUUUAAUUCGAUGCAACGCGAAGAACCUUACCUGGUCUUGACAUCCACAGAACUUUCCAGAGAUGGAUUGGUGCCUUCGGGAACUGUGAGACAGGUGCUGCAUGGCUGUCGUCAGCUCGUGUUGUGAAAUGUUGGGUUAAGUCCCGCAACGAGCGCAACCCUUAUCCUUUGUUGCCAGCGAUUAGGUCGGGAACUCAAAGGAGACUGCCAGUGAUAAACUGGAGGAAGGUGGGGAUGACGUCAAGUCAUCAUGGCCCUUACGACCAGGGCUACACACGUGCUACAAUGGCGCAUACAAAGAGAAGCGACCUCGCGAGAGCAAGCGGACCUCAUAAAGUGCGUCGUAGUCCGGAUUGGAGUCUGCAACUCGACUCCAUGAAGUCGGAAUCGCUAGUAAUCGUGGAUCAGAAUGCCACGGUGAAUACGUUCCCGGGCCUUGUACACACCGCCCGUCACACCAUGGGAGUGGGUUGCAAAAGAAGUAGGUAGCUUAACCUUCGGGAGGGCGCUUACCACUUUGUGAUUCAUGACUGGGGUGAAGUCGUAACAAGGUAACCGUAGGGGAACCUGCGGUUGGAUCACCUCCUUA
This 1542-nucleotide ribosomal RNA is filed under the name Salmonella enterica subsp. enterica. Its description in RNAcentral is "bacterial SSU rRNA". It matches the Rfam family "Bacterial small subunit ribosomal RNA". Lineage: Bacteria; Pseudomonadati; Pseudomonadota; Gammaproteobacteria; Enterobacterales; Enterobacteriaceae. RNAcentral also lists the same sequence under 2 other names. The record is from RNAcentral.